This 15611-nucleotide long non-coding RNA is filed under the name Glycine max (soybean). Its description in RNAcentral is "long non-coding RNA (GMAX_LNC003279)". The record is from RNAcentral. Lineage: Eukaryota; Viridiplantae; Streptophyta; Magnoliopsida; Fabales; Fabaceae.
UGGUCAAAACAGGUGUACUUUGGGAAUAAAAGGUCAAAGUAGUGUAUUUUAGGAAAAGAAUGGAGAGAGAAUAUGUAAUUUGGUAAAAAAACCCAUCUUCUUGCCUAUAAAUAGACCCAAAUAAUGUGAGGUUCCAUACUCCAAAAUCCACAUCUAGCAGCAAAUUAUGGAAUCCCAUGAUGAAGAGCAUGCUGCCAAACUACUUAGAGCUCAAACCCACAUAUGGAAUCACAUAUUUAGCUUCAUAAACUCCAUGUCCCUUAAAUGUGUGGUUGACUUAGGCAUACCAGAUAUCAUACACAACUAUGGCCAACCCAUGCCACUCUCAAACCUCAUUGCUUCACUACCAAUCCACCCAUCCAAAACUUGCUUCGUCCAUCGCUUGAUGCGAAUCAUGAUCCAUUCUGGCUUCUUCUCUUUACAAAAUCAUGACUUGGAGAAUGAGCUAGAAGCCAAGUAUGUGCUAACCGAUGCAUCUGUACUACUGCUUAAGAACCAUCCGAUGAGUGUGACACCUUUCUUGCAUGCCAUNNNNNNNNNNNNNNNNNNNNNNNNNNNNNNNNNNNNNNNNNNNNNNNNNNNNNNNNNNNNNNNNNNNNNNNNNNNNNNNNNNNNNNNNNNNNNNNNNNNNNNNNNNNNNNNNNNNNNNNNNNNNNNNNNUCACUUGUUCAAUGAUGCCAUGGCAAGUGAUGCUCGAUUUGUCACUAGUUUGGUGAUUGAGAAAUGUAAGGGAGUGUUCAUGGGAUGGAGUCAUUGGUUGAUGUUGGGGGAGGCACAGGGACCAUGGCAAAAGCCAUUGCUAAAUCAUUCCCUCGGGUGGAAUGCAUUGUGUUUGAUCUACCACAUGUUGUUUCUGGCUUGAAAGGAAGUGAGAACCUUAAAUAUGUUGCAGGGGACAUGUUUGAGGCAAUUCCUCCAGCUGAUGCCAUUUUGUUAAAGGUAAAUCACUAUUCACAUUCAGAAUACAAUUUUACAUUCAUACCAUUAACACCCAGUUUUUAUACUUGAGUGAUGUCAAAUUUUAAAGAAUUAAAGCAAAUAAUUGAUCGAUUGGAAAAAAAAAUGAACGAUUUUAUGAUCAUUGAUCACUUGAAAUAACUUCAAAUAUAUAUAUGUAUAUUGUUCACUAAGCUAGUAAGCUAGCACCAGCUAGUAGUCCAACUACAUAUCUGCCACUAUCAUACCAAAUCAGACCAACUAAGUGGUCUAUAUGGCUUGUAAUAAUUAGUACUAGUUUACUAAGUGGGUACGUAAAGUAACUAGCAUAUGAUUAUUUGAAAAGUAAAUCUCUGCUCAUAUUCUAGAAAAAAUAGUUAUAGAUCUCUUCAAAUUUGACUUUUCUUUUUUCUGAAGUAUUGACUAUAUGUUGCGGUUAAAAACAUUACAUGAUGUGCCAAUUCAUUCUACCAAGCUUAAUAUGAAUGCAAGUCAAUAUUUUAUGAUUCUGAUCGGUGUGUUACUUUGAAUGACAAAGCAGUGGAUAUUGCAUGACUGGAAUGAUGAGGAGUGUGUGGACAUAUUGAAGAAAUGCAAAGAGGCCAUAACGAGGAAAGGCAAAGAAGGGAAGGUGAUCAUCAUAGACAUGGUGGUGGAGAAUGAGAAGAGAGAUGAUGAAUCAGUUGAAACACAGCUCUUCUUUGAUAUGCUGAUGAUGGUGUUGGUCACUGGAAAAGAGAGAAGCAAGAAAGAAUGGGCUAAGUUGAUUUCCUCUGCUGGUUAUAACAACUACAAGAUAACUCCAGUCUUGGGCUUAAGGUCUCUCAUUGAGAUCUAUCCAUAGUAAGUUAAUGAGAUGUGCCAGCACUCUAUCAUUCAUAUAUGUUAGGGCUAUAAUUUUUCUGUUUCGAUUCAUGAGUGAAUGUUGGAUAAGUAACAAUAGCAAUAGACUGAACUCUCUUCAUCAUAGUUGUGUUGUUGGAACAGUACUGUCAAGAAAGGAAAAAAAAAAAAUCUGAGGAUAAGUAUAGUUUGCGUGGUAUAUAUAGCAGGUGAAGAAAAAAAGGAACAUGUGGUUAAAGAGCACAGUGAGUUUGGCAAUUACUUUUUUUUUUGGUAACUGAAUUUGCCUUGUAUUAGAUUUGUGAAGAACUAAGUUUGUGAGAGUUGUUAUUGAAUAAGAUUGUUUCUAAAGGUUUGAUAAAGGUAUAAUGGUUUAUCUAAAUACAUUUCAAUAUUUUAGUAUUUUAAUUAAGUUCAUAAUGAUGUGAUUAUGUGUCAUGUCAAUAAAGAUAUAUCAUUAAUCUCAUCUUAAUAAUAGUGUCAUGCAAACAAUGAAAUUAAUGAGACUAAAAUAAAAUAAAAAGAAUUUUAUGGAGACAUAAAAUAGAUAAAAUAAAUAUUACAGAAACUAAAAAUGAAAAGAAAUUAUAAGAAUAAAAAAAAAAGAAUUUGCUUAUAUCUUCAAAGGUCACUUUAAGUUGUUUAUAUUUUUUAUUUUAAAUAUUGGGUUGCACCAAAGAAAUGAUCAUUAUAUUCAUGUUAAGAAUAAAUAAAGCAAAACAUAAUGACCAAAAAAUAUAGCAAAUUAAAUCCUAUAAUUUUUCUUUUGGAUGAAGUAUGAAUAUAAAAAGUAAGAGACAACAAAGUUUAAGACAUCACGAAAGAAUUUUUCAUAAAUUUCUCUAUAAUGACUUUAGGAUAAAAAUCUCAUCUUUGACUUCAAAACACUUGAACACAUAUCCUAAUUAGCUAAAGUAUCAAUCACAUGAUUAGAAUCAUGUGACAUAAUUGCAACUAACAAAGUUCAAAUGUUUCUUACUAAUGCUAUUAAAUAAAAUAAGAUUAAUUGAAAUUUAUUUGUAUUUGAAGUCAAGACUGUUAACUCGUUGACAAGUGUACCAAAUUUGUCACAAGUAAUAAAGUACUCGGAAGUCCGAGUGUCGAAUCCACUGGGAUUUUGUGUUGUACUUAUCUUGGAUACUUUUCAAUUUAUAAGGAAUUAAAAGAAAAAGUAGAAGGCAAUAAUAGUAAAUUAUAAAUAGAAAGCAAAAGAAUUAAAAGCAAAAUAAUUAAAGAGAGAAUUCAAUGGAAUGCGAAUGUUAGGACCUAGCAUGCCUUGUUUGCCUAGGAUGUAUGAAUUUAUGAUUUUUCUUCACCAAUUUAGGUGAUUCUAUUCUACCCACAUCUGUUCAUUUACUUGCCCCUGAUUCCUCACGAUGACAAGUCUAUUUUAUUCAUUUAUCUCCCAAAUUCCUUUGUAAAAACUCAACAAAUAAAAUGCAUGAAGUAUGAAUUCUAGAUGUUUGCAAGAAUGCAUGGGCAUAAAAUUAUCAUUCUAUUCCUAGCAAUGACUUUCUUAUGAAAUCCUUUCUUUUUGUUCUAUUAGAAGUUACCUUCUUCCGAGUGUCUAACCCCUAAAACUAAUGCAUGCAUACCUUCUUUAAAUCUUGUUUAGAAGUUACCAUCUCCCGAGUGUCUAACCCCUAAAAGAAUAUAAAGAUGAAUAAUGCAAGAUAAAAACAGAAAAGAUAAUAGAAUAGAAAAACCUGGAAAAUAAUCCUGUUGCAUUGAUAAAUAUGAAGUACAUCAUACAUUUCUUUGACUUUUUAGGCCUACCAGGCCCUAACUAGGAGUUUAGUCACUCAUGGCCAUUGAGGGCUUUACAAUGAGAAGGGGGUGAAAAAAAGAUGAUAAAAAAAAGGAAGAGAGUAAAAAUUCUCAGGCUUUGAGUAGUAGUGAGAGUGCUCUCUGAGACUUGGUGUUUUCCUCCUUGGCCUGACUCUCUAUCUAUAGCUGAUGAAGUGGACUUGGGCUUGAUUCAAACAAUCUUCCUUAUCUAUCUUUUUUAUAUCUUUUGGAUCUUGUAAAUCUUAUCUUUCCUAUAUCUGCAAGUCAUAGAUAAGAAAAUAUCAAUUCAUAUCUUUUAAGUCAAAAUUAACUGCUAAAUAAAUAUCUUUAAAGAUAUUUUCAAAUUAGCUCAUAUUUAACAGUUAUCAAUAUCUUUUAGAUCUUGUAAUCUUAUCUUUUUAUAUCUGCAAGCCAUAAAUAAUAAAAGUAUCAAUUCUUAUCAUUUAAGCAAAAAAAUAACUGUUAAAUAAAUAUUUUCAAAGAUAUUUUCAAUAUAUUUUUAUUAUGAAAUAACUCAUAUUUAACAGUUAUCAAAGACACAGAUAUAUUUUUUUGCUUGCAUUCGAAAUCAAAGAAAGCAAGUACAUCUAAGCGCUUAAUGAAGAUGGUUGGAGGUAGACAGAGGUGAAUUCACAUAUAAGCUUGUUUCCCCAGUAUGAAUUUUUAUACUUGAAUAUAAUACUCCUAUUCAUGUGGGCAUAGAUGCAAAAGUUUGAGAUGAGGAAGGUCACAAGCUUGGAUAGGUUUGGAAGAUAAAUGGUUUGUGAGAAUAUAUAAAUGCUAAAUUAAAACAUAUUAUUGGAAGACAGUUGAAGGAUUGACGUCGGAGUAGUUAGUGCAGUGGAAAUAAAUGCCAUUAUUGGAGGACGGUUGAAAGAUUAGCGUAGGUGGGGCUAGUUAUUUCGGUGGGAAUAAAUGCUAAAUUAAAACAUAUUAUUGGUGGAAAUUUGGGAUGGAAAUGAGUCACGCCGCUUGUCAAGGGCCUUUUGCUCGACCUAUUUAAGACUUGGUUUGACUUGACUUGUUUAUUAUAAAGGUCAAACUUAAGCUUUUUAAAAAGCUAUUUUAGAUAAAAAUGACAAAGGCAAAUUAUAAAAAAUAAACUUGUUAAGCUUGACAAACCGGCUUGUUAAGCUUGACAAACUGGCUUAUUUAAGUAAUAAUAAUAAUAAUAACUAUUAUCUAUACCAUUUUUAUGGAAUUAUGAAUGACAGGCUGAAGCGACAUAAGGUGCUUAGAGAAUUCACUUGCAUGUGAAAAAUUUUCAAAAGAAAAGAUUCAAGUUAAAGGAUCAAGAAAUCAGAUGAAUACUUCAAAUGAAAAGAAUGUUUUGUAAAAUAUUGUCAGACAAUGUAAAUAGUUUUAUUUGACUAUAGUAAUAUAAAUCAUCGUUAAUCCAAUAUAUUGUUUAAUAUUAUGCUCUCUUUUUUUUCAUUUUCUUGUGAUAUACUUUGUGUUUUAACAACUUGAAUUUAAUAUGAUUUUGUUUAUCAAUUAUUUUUGGAUUUGUACAUUACUUAUAUGAAAUUUUAUAAGUUUUUUUUAGUUAAUAUUUCACUAGGUUUUAGAACAAUUAAUUGGUCAAAGACGUCUUUAAGCAGAUUUUUAAAUAGGCUCGUAGGUAAAAUCAGACUUCAAUGUGAGUCGAGCCGAGCCUUAAAAAAAAUUCUAUGAUAGGUAAUGAGACAAGCUCAAGUCUUGCUUAUUCAACUCAAGCCGAGCUCAAGCCUAAUAAAGCUUGAUUUGCCUUGACUCAUUUUCACUCCUAGUGAGAAUAGGGGUCAACUUCUAAUUUUACUAUAGGCACUUUAAUUAAUAGGGGUGGGUAAGCGGGUUGGCCCGCCCCGCGUAAGGCUAGUCCGCAUAAGCCCGCAUUGGCAGUGGAUCGGGUCAGCCCGCCCCGCAUUCUUACACUGACCAAAUAUAUUGGUCCGCCCCCGCCCCGCGAACCCCGCGAGUCAAACGGGCCAGUCCGUGGGCCUUGUUUUAAAAGAAUUUCAAUUUCAAUAAAAAUGCAACACAAUCAAAUUAAGUUCAAUACAAAUGUAAAUAAAAUCUUAACAAUUAGUCAAUUACAUCAAUAAAAUAAAUAAUGUCUUACAAAAGAAAAUCCAAGCAAUAAAUUUAAAAUAUGAAACUUAAACAUCUCUAACAACAAAUGAUUCUACAUUUAAAGUAAUAUAAUCCUAAUGCGGGCAAUUCGCAGACCCCGUGGGCCAAACUCGCAUAUUCUGCGGGUUAAGUGGGGCGGAUCCAAAAAUAUGACAUCAUCAUGGACCGUUUAAAAAAAUUGAUCCAUUAUCCGCGCGAACCACGGAACCCGGGGGCCAGUCGAUGGACCUGGGCCUGUUUACCCACCCUUAUUAAUUAGCAAGCUAUUAUAUUAUAUUGGUGGAUUAGGACAUCUAUAGUCCAAGGAAUAUAAAAUUUACCUGACUCUUUGUAACUAUGCAUGUGAUCUAUCUAAUGAAUUCCACCUCCUUUUUAUACAUCAUACACAUGCAAUGUUAAUCACUAUGAUAUAAAACAUUUAAAUUAUAUAUUAUUAUUACUAUGAUUUUUUUAAGAUAGAUAUAUUCAAAAUUAAAAAAAUUAUUAUAUUGGAUGGAUAAUGAUUUAAUAAUAUAGUAAAAUUAUUUUAUACUUGUUGGUGUAUAAUCAUUUUUUCUACAAAUAAAUAAAAAUAAUUAUAAUAUAAAACAUUAAUAUACCAUAAAAAUUAAAUAUUAAAAAAGAAAUGUAAAUAAUCAAUUAAAAUAUAUAAAAUUUAUAACAAUUUAUUCAUAUUUGAGAAAUUUUAAAAAUAUGUAUAUAAAUUAUUUUUCAAAUAAAUAUAUUAUUAAUAUACAUAAUUCAAACUAUGAAAAAUAUAUUAUUGAAAUAUUUAAAACACCAAAUACAUUUUAAAAAUUUGAUUUAAAUAAUAUUAAAAUUAAAACAUAACAAUCUCAAAAAAUAUUUUUAUAAAUCAGUCUUUUGUUGGAGAUAAGAAAAUACACUUUAGUUUUUAAUUCUAAAUAUUUAAUAUUGUAUUUGUUUUUUUCCAUACUGUAAUAUAUAAAAAAAUGUAUAAUCUAUUUAAGUUUUAGUAUUUUAUAGUGAAUUUCAAUUUGUUAGUUCUUUACAUAUUAAUUUUCUUUUUCAAAUUUUGUAGUAUCAUAUAUUACCUUUUUAAUAUUUGAAAGACUUGUAAUAUCAAAUAAAAUAAUAUUGCAAUUAAUGUAUAUAUUAACAUAUAAAAAUGAAUAGCAUAGAUAAAAAAAAAAUCAAGUAUGAUCGACAAUGAAAGUUUAAUCAUUGAAAAAGUUGCAUGAUGUCUUCUCGGGUACACCACUCUACUUCUAUAAGUGGUGCAUUGAUUUACUAGAUAAGUUUUUUUUAAGGAAUCCAUUAAAUGUAUUUUUCUCCAAUCCUGAUAUUAUUACAAAGUUGUUUUCACGUGGUGAUUAAUUUUCAAGAUGAUGAGCACAUACAAGAUAAUUUUCAGGAUCAAGAGCACAUACAAAAUAGCUUAUAAGAUUUUAAGUUACACUACAUACAAUUUGGUCAAAUUUUCUUAUAUUGUAAAAAGUUAUAGAUAAAAGUGAUGAUAAUUGUUGUCACCACUACUGAAGAAAGAAGAUUCUAAAUUGGUUAUUUGGAGCAUUCUACAUUGGUUGAGGAUCGUCGUAGUAGACCACAUCGUCAAAAGGGAAACCUAAUCUAGGACGGUCGCAAAGACUAUCUUAAAAAAUGUGUGUUUCUAAUUGCAGUCCCAAACUUUCCAAAAUUUAAUAUAGUGGUCAAAAUCAUGAUCAUUAACUAUUUUUUAAAACGUAGCUACAGAGAAUAAAGUUGUUGCUUAAACAUCUUCACGCCUAUAAAUAGACCCAAAUAAUGUGAGGUUCCAUACUUCAAAAUCCAAAUCUAGCGAUUAAUUAUAGUUUAGGCAGCAAAUUAUGGAUUCCCAUGAUGAGGAGCAUGCUGCCAAACUACUUAGAGCUCAAACCCACAUAUGGAAUCACAUAUUUAGCUUCAUAAACUCCAUGUCCCUUAAAUGUGUGGUUGACUUAGGCAUACCAGAUAUCAUACACAACUAUGGCCAACCCAUGCCACUCUCAAACCUCAUUGCUUCACUACCAAUCCACCCAUCCAAAACUUGCUUUGUCCAUCGCUUGAUGCGAAUCAUGAUCCAUUCUGGCUUCUUCUCUCAACAAAAUCAUGACAUGGAGAAUCAGCUAGAUGCCAAGUAUGUGCUUACCGAUGCAUCUGUACUAUUGCUUAAGAACCAUCCGAUGAGUGUGACACCUUUCUUGCAUGCCAUGCUUGAUCCAAUUUUGACAAAUCCAUGGAAUCAAUUUUCUACUUGGUUCAAAAAUGGUGACACUACACCAUUUGAAACGGCACAUGGGAUGAUGCUUUGGGAUUACGCUGGCGCUGAUCCAAAACAUAAUAACUUGUUCAAUGAUGCCAUGGCAAGUGAUGCUCGAUUUGUCACUAGUUUGGUGAUUGAGAAAUGUAAGGGAAUGUUCAUGGGAUUGGAGUCAUUGGUUGAUGUUGGGGGAGGCACAGGGACCAUGGCAAAAGCCAUUGCUAAAUCAUUCCCUCGGGUGGAAUGCAUUGUGUUUGAUCUACCACAUGUUGUUUCUGGCUUGAAAGGAAGUGAAAACCUUAAAUAUGUUGCAGGGGACAUGUUUGAGGCAAUUCCUCCAGCUGAUGCCAUUCUGUUAAAGGUAAAUCACUAUUCACAUUCAGAAUACAAUUUUACAUUCAUACCAUUAACACCCAGUUUUUAUACUUGAGUGAUGUCAAAUUUUAAAGAAUUAAAGCAAAUAAUUGAUCGAUUGGAAAAAAAAAAUGAACGAUUUUAUCAUCAUUGAUCACUUGAAAUAACUUCAAAUUUUUAUAUGUAUAUUGAUCACUAAGCUAGUAAGCUAGCACCAGCUAGUAGUCCAACUACAUAUCUGCCACUAUCAUACCAAAUCAGACCAACUGAGUGGUCUAUAUGGCUUGUAAUAAUUAGGACUAGUUUAUUAAGUGGUUACGUAAAGUAGCUAGCAUAUGAUUAUUUGACAAGUAAAUCUCUGCUCAUAUUCUAGAAAAAAUAGUUAUAGAUCUCUUCAAAUUUGACUUUUCUUUUUUCUGAAGUAUUGACUAUAUGUUGCGGUUAAAAACGUUACAUGAUGUGCCAAUUCAUUCUACCAAGCUUAAUAUGAAUGCAAGUCAAUAUUUAUUUCUUUUGUAUGAUUCUUAUCGGUGUGUUACUUUGAAUGACAAAGCAGUGGAUAUUGCAUGACUGGAAUGAUAAGGAGUGUGUGGACAUAUUGAAGAAAUGCAAAGAGGCGAUAACGAGGAAAGGCAAAGAAGGGAAGGUGAUCAUCAUAGACAUGGUGGUGGAGAAUGAGAAGAGAGAUGAUGAAUCAGUUGAAACACAGCUCUUCUUUGAUAUGCUGAUGAUGGUGUUGGUCACUGGAAAAGAGAGAAGCAAGAAAGAAUGGGCUAAGUUGAUUUCCUCUGCUGGUUAUAACAACUACAAGAUAACUCCAGUCUUGGGCUUAAGGUCUCUCAUUGAGAUCUAUCCAUAGUAAGUUAAUGAGAUGUGCCAGCACUCUAUCAUUCAUAUAUGUAAGGGCUAUAAUUUUUCUGUUUCGAUUCAUGAGUGAAUGUUGGAUAAGUAACAAUAGCAAUAGACUGAACUCUCUUCAUCAUAGUUGUGUUGUUGGAACAGUACUGUCAAGAAAGGAAAAAAAAAAAAUCUGAGGAUAAGUAUAGUUUGCGUGGUAUAUAUAGCAGGUGAAGAAGAAAAGGAACACGUGGUUAAAGAGCACAGUGAGAGUUUAGCAAUUACUCUUUUUUUGGUAACUGAAUUUGCCUUGUAUUAGAUUUGUGAAGAACUAAGUUUGUGAGAGUUGUAUUAAAUAAAAUAAGAUUAAUUGAAAUUUAUUUGUAAUUGAAGUCAAGACACAUAUAUAUUUUUUUGCUUGCAUUCGAAAUCAAAGAAAGCAAGUUCAUCUAAAAACUUAAUGAAAAUGGUUGGAGGUAGACAGCGGUGAAUGCACAUAUAAGCUUGUUCUCACAGUAUAAAUUUUUAUACUUGAAUAUAAUACUCCUAUUCAUGUGGGCAUAGAUGCAAAAGUUUGAGAUGAGGAAGGUCACAAGCUUGGAUAGGUUUGGAAGAUAAAUGAUUUGUGAUAAUAUAUAAAUGCUAAAUUAAAACGUAUUAUUGGAAGACAGUUGAAGGAUUGGCGUUAGUGUAGUUAGUGCGGUGGGAAUAAAUGCUAUUAUUGGAGGACGGUCAUACGUGGAGCUAGUUAUUGCGGUGGGAAUAAAUGCUAAAUUAAAACAUAUUAUUGGAAGGCAGAUUGACUCGUAGAAGUUAUUGUUGUGGGAAUAAAUGCUAUUAUUGGAGGACGGUUGAAGAAUUGGUGUACGUGGGGUUAGUUAUUGCGGUGGGAAUAAAUGCUAAAUUAAAAUAUAUUAUUGAUAGACACUUGAAGGAUUGGCGUCAGAGUAGUUAGUGCGGUGGGAAUAAAUGUUAUUAUUCUCAUCUUAAUAAUAAUGUCAUGCCAACAAUGAAAUUAAUGAGACUAAAAUAAAAUAAAAAGAAUUUUAUGGAGACAUAAAAUACAUAAAAUAAAUAUUAUAGAAACUAAAAAUGAAAAGAAAUUAUAAGAAUUAAAAAAAAGAAUUUGCUUAUGUCUUCAAAGGUCACUUAAAGUUGUUUAUAUUUUUUAUUUUAAAUAUUGGGUUGCACAAAAGAAAUGAUCAUUGUAUUCAUGUUAAGAAUAAAUAAAGCAAAAUAUAAUGACCAAAAAUUAUACCAAAUUAAAUUCUAUUUUUUUUUCUUUUGGAUGAAGUAUGAAUAUAAAAUUAAGAGACAACAAAGUUUAAGACAUCACGAAAGAGUUUUUCAUAAAUUUCUCUAUAAUGACUUCAAGAUAAAAAUCUCAUCUUUGGCUUCAAAACACUUGAACACAUAUCCUAAUUAGCUAAAGUAUCAAUCAUAUGAUUAGAAUCAUGUGACAUAAUUGCAAGUAACAAAGUUCAAAUAUUUCUCACUAACGCUAUCAAAUAAAAUAAGAUUAAUUGAAAUUAAUUUGUAUUUGAAGUCAAGACACAUAUAUUUUUUUGCUUGCAUUCGAAAUUAAAGAAAGCAAGUUCAUCUAAACGCUUAAUGAAAAUGGUUGGAGGUAGACAGAGGUGAAUGCACAUAUAAGCUUGUUCUCACAGGAUAAAUUUUUAUACUUGAAUAUAAUACUCCUAUUCAUGUGGGCAUAGAUGCAAAAGUUUGAGAUGAGGAAGGUCACAAGCUUGGAUAGGUUUGGAAGAUAAAUGGUUUGUGAGAAUAUAUAAAUGUUAAAUUAAAACAUAUUAUUGAAAGACAGUUGAAGGAUUGGCAUCAGAGUAGUUAGUGCGGAGGGAAUAAAUGCUAUUAUUGGAGGACGGUUGAAGGAUUAGCGUAUGUGGGGCUAGUUAUUUCGGUGGGAAUAAAUGUUAAAUUAAAACAUAUUAUUGGUGGAAAUUUGGGAUGGAAAUGAGCCACGCCGCUUGUCAAGGGUCUUUGGCUCGACAUAUUUAAGACUUGGCUUGGCUUGGCUUGUUUACUAUAAAGGCCAAGCUCAAGCUUUGUAAAAAACUUUUUUAGAUGAAAAGGCCAAAGGCAAAUUAUAAAAAAAACUUCUUAAGCUUGACAAACCGUCUUGUUAAGCUUGACAAACUGGCUUGUUUAAGUAAUAAUAAUAAUAUUAAUAAUAAUAAAAACUAUUAUCUAUAUCAUUUUUAUAGAAUUAUGAAUGACAGGAUGAAGUGACAUAAAGUGCUUACAGAAUUCACUUGCAUGUGAAAAAAUUUUAAAAAGAAAAAGACUCAACUUAAAAGGAUAAAGCAAUCAGAUGAAUACUUCCAAAGAAAAGAAUGUUUUCUAAAAACAUUUUCAGACAAUUUAUAUAUUUUUAUUUGAUUAAAUUAAUAUAAAUCAUCUCUAAUCCAUAUAUUUUUUUAAUAUUAUGCUCUCUUUUUUUUCAUUUUCUUUUGAUAUACUUUGUGUUUUAACAACUUGAAUUCAAUAUGAUUUUGUUUAUCAAUUAUUUUUGGAUUUGUACAUUACUUAUACGAAAUUUUAUAAGUUUCUUUUUUUAGUUAAUAUUUCACUAGGUUUUAGAACAAUUAAUUGUUCAAAGACGUCUUUAAGCAGAUUUUUAAAUAGGCACGUAGGCGAAAUCAGGCUUUUAUGUGAGCCGAGCCGAGCCUUUAAAAAAAUCCUAUGACAGGUAAUGAGCCAAGCUCAAACCUUGCGUAUUCAACUCAAUUCGAGCUCAAGCCUAGUAAAGCUUAAUUUGGCUUAACUCAUUUUCACCCCUAAUGGGAAUAGGGGUCAACUUCUAAUUUUACUACAGGCACUUUAAUUAAUAGGGGUGGGUAAGUGGGCUGGCUCGCCCCGCAUAAGCCCGCAUUGGCAGUGGACCGGGCCAGCUCACCCCGCAUUCUUACACGGACCAAAUAAAUUGGUCCGCCCCCGCCCCGCGGAUCCUGCGGGUCAAACGGGCCAGUCCGUGGCCCUAGUUUUAAUAGAAUUUCAAUUUUAAUAAAAAAUACAACACAAUCAAAUUAAGUUCAAUAUAAAUGUAAAUAAAAUCUUAACAAUUAGUCAAUUACAUAAAUAAAAUAAAUAAUGCCUUAGCAAAAGAAAAUCCAAACAAUAAAUUUAAAAUAUGAAACUUAAACAUCUCUAACAACAAAUGAUUCCAUAUUUGAAGCAAUAAAAUCUUAAUGCGGGCAACCAGAAGAUCCCGCGGGCCAAACUCACAUAGUCUGCGGGUUAAGUGGGGCAGACCCAAAAAUAUGACAUAAUCAUGGACCAUUUUAAAAAAUUGAUCCGUUACCCAAGCGAAUCGCAAGCCCCGCGGACCAGUCAAUGAACCUAGGCCCGUUUACCCACUCCUAUUAAUUAGCAUGCUAUUAUAUUAUAUUGGUGGAUUAGGACAUCUAUAGUCCCAGGAAUAUAAAAUUUACCUGACUCUUUGUAACUAUUAGGGGUGGGUAAACGGGCUCAGGUCCAUGUAUUGACCCACGGGGCCCGCGGUCUAUGAUUAUGUCAUAUUUUUUGGCCCACCUCGCUUAACCCGUGGACUAUGCGGGUUUGGCCUGCGGGGUCCGCGGGUUGUCCGUAGCCCGCAUUAGGUUUAAUUUGUGUGAUCCUGACCCAAUUAUAUUAGGUUUGAUUUUCUCUUUUUCAAUUUAAACUUUUCUUUUAAAAUAACAGAUAAAGAAAUAUAUUAGAUAUGAUAAAGAUAUAAAGAUAAAAAUAAAAGAUUUAAAUUGAAAGAUGAUAAAGAUAAAAAAAGGAUAAGAUAACAAAAAUAAAAGAUUAAGAUAAAAAAGAUAAGUGAUAACUUGCUAAAAAUCUUUUUUUUAUAUUUUAUCAAUCUUUUUCUCUUUUAAUCUAUCAUUUUCAUAUCUGAAAGUCAUAAAUAAUAAAAAUAUCAAUUCUUAUCAUUUAAGCCAAAAAUAAUUGUUAAAUAAAUAUUUUUAAAGAUAUUUCAAUAUAUGUUUAUUGUAAAAAAUAACUCAUAUCAUAUUUAGUAGUUGUAGCAGGCUAAAAACAUUUUUUCUCCUCACGUGUGCUUAACAAAUAUCGAACUAGGCUUCUUGUUGACAACAUACAAGCCUUGAUAUAUACUAAAAAUUGGUUACUAGUAUUUGAUAUGCAGGGUAAAUAAUAUGUAAUAAUUAUUGUCUUUUAAUCACUUAGCUUGACUUUAUUCUAAUAUUUUAUUAUUUUGAGUUUUAGGAAAAGAAGAUGAAGAUAUGGAGAUGGAGAAGGCUCAAGCUACUUCAAAUAUGAAAUCAUUUGUUGUUGGAGAUGUUUAAAUUUCAUAUUUUAGAUUUAUUGCUUCGAUUUCUUUGUUAAGACAUUAUUUAUUUUAUUGAUAUAAUUGACUAAUUAUUGAGAUUUUAUUUAUCUUUGUAUUGAACUUAAUUUGAUUGUAUUAUAUUUUUAUUAAAAUUAAAAUUCUUUUAAAAUUAGGCUCGCGGACUGGCUCGUUUGACCCGCGGGAUCCGUGGGGCGGGGGCGGACCAAUUUAUUUCGUCUGUGUAAGAAGCGGGGCGGAUUGGCCCGAUCCGCUACCAAUGCGGGCUCAUGCGGACGGGCCUUACACGGGGCAUGCCGGUCCGCUUACCCACCCCUAGUAACUAUGCACGUGAUCUAUCUAAUGAAUUCCACCUCCUUUUUAUACAUCAUACACAUGCAAUGUUAAUCACUAUAAUAUAAAACAAUUUAAUUAUAUAUUAUUAUUACUAUGAUUUUUUUAAGAUAGUUAUAUUCAAUAUUUAUAUAAUUAUUAUAUAGGAUGGAUAAUGAUUUAAUAAUAUUAUAAAAUUAUUUUACAUUUGUUUGUGUAUAAUCUUGUUUUCUACAAAUAAAUAAAAAUAAUAAUAAAAUAAAACAUUAAUAUACCAUAAAAAAUAAAUAUUAAAAAAGAAAUGUAAAUAAUCAAUUAAAAUAUAUAAAUUUUAUAACAAUUUAUUCAUAUUUAAGUAAUUUUUAAAAUAUGUAUAUAAAUUAUUUUUCAAAUAAAUAUAUUAUUAAUAUACAUAAUUCAAACUAUGAAAAAUAUAUUAUUGAAAUAUUUAAAACACCAAAUACAUUUUAAAAAUUUGAUUUAAAUAAUAUUAAAAUUAAAACAUAACAAUCCCAGAAAAUAUUUUUAUAAAUCAGUAUUUUGUUGGAGAUAAGAAAAUACACUUUCGUUUUUAAUUCUAAAUAUUUUAUAAUGUAUUGUUGUUUUUCCAUACUGUAAUAUAUAAAAAAGAUGUAUAAUCUAUUUAAGUUUUAGUAUUUUAUACUGAAUUUCAAUUUGUUAGUUCUUUACAUAUUAAUUUUAUUUUUCAAAUUUUGUAGUAUCAUAUAUUACCUUUUUAAUAUUUGAAAGACUUGUAAUAUCAAAUAAAAUAAUAUUGCAAUUAAUGUAUAUAUUAACAUAUAAAAAUGUAUAGCAUAGAUAAAAAAAAAAAAAAAAUCAAACAUGAUCGACAAUGAAAGUUUAAAUAUUGAACAAGUUGUAUGAUGUCUUCUCGGGUACACCACUCUACUUCUCUAAGUGGUGCAUUGAUUUACUAGAUAAUUUUUUUUAAGGAAUCCAUUAAAUAUAUUUUUCUCCAAUCAUGAUAUUAUUACAAAGUUGUUUUUACGUGGUGAUUGAUUUUCAAGAUGGUGAGCACAUACAAGAUAAUUUUGAGGAUCCAAAGCACCUACAAAAUAGCUGAUAAGGUUUUAAGUUAUACUACAUACAAUUUGGUUAAAUUUUCUUAUAUUGUAAAAAAAUUAUAGAUAAAAGUGGUCACAAUUAUUGUCACCCCUACUGGAGAAAGAAGAUUCUAAAUCAAUUAUUUGGAGCGUUCUACAUAGUGGCCAAAAUCAUGAUCACCAACUAUUUUUUAAAACCUAGCUACAGAGGAUAAAGUCGUUGCUUAAACAUCAUCUCGCCUAUAAAUAGACCCAAAUAAUUUGAGGUUCCAUACUUCAAAAUCCAAAUCUAGCGAUUAAUUAUAGUUUAGGCAGCAAAUUAUGGAAUCCCAUGAUGAGGAGCAUGCUGCCAAACUACUUAGAGCUCAAACCCACAUAUGGAAUCACAUAUUUAGCUUCAUAAACUCCAUGUCCCUUAAAUGUGUGGUUGACUUAGGCAUACCAGAUAUCAUACACAACUAUGGCCAACCCAUGCCACUCUCAAACCUCAUUGCUUCACUACCAAUCCACCCAUCCAAAACUUGCUUCGUCCAUUGCUUGAUGCGAAUCAUGAUCCAUUCUGGCUUCUUCUCUCAACAAAACCAUGACUUGGAGAAUGAGCUAGAAGCCAAGUAUGUGCUAACCGAUGCAUCUGUACUAUUGCUUAAGAACCAUCCGCUGAGUGUGACACCUUUCUUGCAUGCCAUGCUUGAUCCAGUUUUGACAAAUCCAUGGAAUCAAUUUUCUACUUGGUUCAAAAAUGGUGACCCUACACCAUUUGAAACGGCACAUGGGAAGAUGUUUUGGGAUUAUGCUGGCGCUGAUCCGAAACUUAAUC